Molecule: long non-coding RNA, 326 nt
Filed under: Mytilus galloprovincialis (Mediterranean mussel)
Lineage: Eukaryota; Metazoa; Mollusca; Bivalvia; Mytilida; Mytilidae
Source: RNAcentral
CUAAGUUUAAUUUUGGACCCUUUGGACCUUAAUGUAGACCAAUUUGAAAACGGGACCAAAAUUAAGAAUCUACAUACACAGUUAGAUUCGGCAUAUCAAAGAACCCCAAUUAUUCAAUUUUUGAUGAAAUCAAACAAAGUUCAAUUUUGGACCCUUUGGGCCCCUUAUUCCUAAACUGUUGGGACCUUAACUCCCAAAAUCAAUCCCAACCUUCCUUUUGUGGUCAUAAACCUUGUGUUUAAAUUUCAUUGAUUUCUAUUUACUUAUACUAAAGCUAUUGUGCGAAAACCAAGAAUAAUGCUUAUUUGGGCCCUUUUUUGGCCCCU